Molecule: long non-coding RNA, 435 nt
Filed under: Crocodylus porosus (Australian saltwater crocodile)
Lineage: Eukaryota; Metazoa; Chordata; Crocodylia; Crocodylidae
Description: lncRNA (ENSCPRG00005007756.1)
Source: RNAcentral
CAGGACUAGAAGGAACAGGGUGUGAACCCUGUCAGGACUAUGGGGCAGAGGUUCCCAUUCAUGGACAGUAUGAACAGACCAAACCCCACAAGCUCCAUACAGUAUGUUUCACAAAUAAGAGAACAGCAACAGCACAAGGCAUCAGGAGAAGGGUGCAAAACAAGGGAAGCCAGGGAAGUCACCUACAGGAUUCAGAGAUUUUCCAGCUUGCCUAAGAGAUCUGAAAAUGCAGCGUGUCCAAAUCCCUUGGCUGCCAGGCAAAAUCAGAGCCAAACCCAUUAGCAUUUAGUGGAAAUGCUCUGUGUGUCCUUCCGUCAGCAUUGCUGGUGGUGGAGACUGCCGGAACCACAGGAAGUCAGUGACAGUUGCUGGAAUCAGCUCCGAAACUCCCGUGUUGGUACCAGACAGGAUGUUCCACUGAGGCAGACUUGGACC